GCCUUCGUGGUGUAGUGGUCAGCAUGCUCGACGCGUAACCGAGAGGUCCGUGGUUCAAUUCCCGGCGAAGGUG
RNAcentral lists this transfer RNA (73 nucleotides) under Stegodyphus mimosarum. It matches the Rfam family "tRNA". From Rfam's summary of the family: Transfer RNA (tRNA) molecules are approximately 80 nucleotides in length. Their secondary structure includes four short double-helical elements and three loops (D, anti-codon, and T loops). Further hydrogen bonds mediate the characteristic L-shaped molecular structure. tRNAs have two regions of fundamental functional importance: the anti-codon, which is responsible for specific mRNA codon recognition, and the 3' end, to which the tRNAs corresponding amino acid is attached (by aminoacyl-tRNA synthetases). tRNAs cope with the degeneracy of the genetic code in two manners: having more than one tRNA (with a specific anti-codon) for a particular amino acid; and 'wobble' base-pairing, i.e. permitting non-standard base-pairing at the 3rd anti-codon position. Lineage: Eukaryota; Metazoa; Arthropoda; Arachnida; Araneae; Eresidae. The record is from Rfam by way of RNAcentral.